AUACGAAGGUCCCAAUCGUUAUUCGGAAUCACUGGGCGUAAAGAGUACGUAGGCGGUUUGGUAAGUCAGGUGUGAAAUCCCGGAGCUCAACUCCGGAACUGCAUCCGAUACUGCCAGACUUGAGUAAUGGAGAGGCAGGUGGAAUUCUCGGUGUAGCAGUGAAAUGCGUGGAUAUCGAGAGGAAGACCAAUGGCGAAGGCAGCCUGCUGGACAUUUACUGACGCUGAGGUACGAAGGCUAGGGGAGCGAAAGGGAUUAGAAACCCUAGUAGUCC
This 274-nucleotide ribosomal RNA is filed under the name uncultured bacterium. RNAcentral's name for it is "partial 16S ribosomal RNA". It matches the Rfam family "Bacterial small subunit ribosomal RNA", at positions 523 to 796 of the family's 1533-position model. The record is from RNAcentral.